GGGCUGUCUAUUGAAUUAUUGAAGUUCCGAUGGUGAUAUUGUUUUUGCGUUAAGUCCUCAAACUUGUAAAACAUACAUAAAUAUUUCCUUUGCUUUAGUUCUCAAAGGAUAAUCCGUGUAUUAUUUGCCGUUAAUGUUAGCAACCAUAUAGAUCAAUAUUCACCUUUUUGAAAUCGAUAGCGGUGAAUUAAGCAAUCGUCUGCCAGUAUAGCAAAUAGAAGAAGUACCUGACUGCUUAUGGUCGUCAGUAGCAGACGUACCGGAAGUCAUGACACAUGGAAUAGCUUAUAAGCGGGAUUAUGAAUAAAAGAAAGAAUGAAGAAGUUUCGAUACAUUCUACUUUUUUUUGUUUUUAUUUUAGAAUUAUGCUUUGAUUUAGGUCAGUGUUCAUCAACUGCUGCACCAGAAGAAGAAGACGACUUUUUUGGUAGUGACAAGUUUGUAGGGUUGAUGAUCGGUUUGGGUUCAUUUGCUGGACUUCUUGUUUUGUGCUGUAUUCUAUGGAAAUGCUGUUGUGGUGGGAAGGACGACUAGGUACAAAAUAUCCAGAUACCAGAAAAUGAGGAAUGAUGUGAGACUUACAUUAUCAUUUGUGAUAUUAGCGAAUCAUUUCCUUCCAUAAAAGGAUGUUUUGUUACGUGGUUAUGCGCAUGUCGUUAACAAUUAUUUGACAUUGUUUAAACACAUGGAAUAUUAAUAAUAUAUAUAUAUAUGUGCUGCUUCGGUGGAGAAAAUGGAUGCUUGUGUUUGUUGACUGGUUAACUGUUUUGAUCAGCAGCAUUAAGUUGGCAAGUUAACUGCUGAAGAACUGUUUUUGUCCAUGUUAUAUAUAAUGUACACACUUAUAAUUUCAGAACUACAGAAGUAUGUUUGAUGUCAUUAUUCGGGUUACUUAAAAGAUAUUGUGUCGAAUAUCCAUUUAAGUUUUAUCUGCUAAUUGCAAUAUUUUGUGUACACUUUUUGAACUAUAUCCCAAAAUGUAUUAGUUUCUGAAACGAAAUUAAGUACCAACAACGUACUAGUACUAUUGUUCCAUUUUUUAAAGUUUCAUUGAUGUCGAUGAUUAACAUAAUGCUUUCUUUUCACAUGUCAAUAUUAUGUUACAUUAUCGAAUUCGUUCACUAUUUACAAACCUGAAGCGCACCUUAUUUAUUAAGUGAUCAAGGUCUUUAUCAUAGUAACAACGCUUUUAUCGCAUCAGAAACAAUUUUUUCUCUUUUGAUGGAUAAAUAUCAUAAUUAAAAUGAUGUAUACAUGUAUUUAUCAUGGUGGAACAAAUUGUUGAUUCUUUAGUAACAUAUAAACCAAAACAAAUAUUAUGUCAAUUGCGUAUACAAAACUUUUACAACAUAAGACACCAUAACUAGUGUACAUGUAUUACAGAACCAAAUAGGAUUUCGUACUUAAAGAUUUUACAGGAAGUAGUUCUAUUUAUAUAUAUUCUGCUUAUUUUUAACUGAAUGCAAUACAACACAGAUAAAUAUUUCUCAUCAUAAACUAUUGAACUACUAAAUGCUUACCUUGGCAUAAAUAUUUUGUUUUCGUGUUUAACGAUUUGCAUUGUUAUCUCCGUCCAAUACUGUCACGUGGCACCUUACAAUAUUAAUUUUAUUUACGGAACAAAUUGCUUUUAUUUUUAUACUUGUAAAUGUGCUAUUACAAUAAAUGAAGUCUAUUAUUC
This is a long non-coding RNA of Mytilus trossulus (common blue mussel), 1681 nucleotides long. RefSeq lists it as uncharacterized. The transcript has 3 exons. Lineage: Eukaryota; Metazoa; Mollusca; Bivalvia; Mytilida; Mytilidae. The record is from RefSeq and is a predicted model, not a curated record.